This 28-nucleotide non-coding RNA is filed under the name Mus musculus (house mouse). Lineage: Eukaryota; Metazoa; Chordata; Mammalia; Rodentia; Muridae. The record is from RNAcentral.
UAUAUUCUGGCUAUAUUUUGUUUGGGAA